RNAcentral lists this ribosomal RNA (274 nucleotides) under uncultured bacterium. Its description in RNAcentral is "partial 16S ribosomal RNA". It matches the Rfam family "Bacterial small subunit ribosomal RNA", at positions 523 to 796 of the family's 1533-position model. The record is from RNAcentral.
AUACGGAGGGUGCAAGCGUUGUUCGGAUUCACUGGGCGUAAAGGGCGUGUAGGCGGGAAUGCAAGCUGGAGGUGAAAGCCCCGGGCUCAACUCGGGAAUUGCUUCCAGAACUGCAUUUCUAGAGAGAGUCAGAGGCAGGUGGAAUUCCUGGUGUAGAGGUGAAAUUCGUAGAGAUCAGGAGGAACACCGGCGGCGAAGGCGGCCUGCUGGGGCUCAUCUGACGCUGAGGCGCGAAAGCGUGGGGAGCAAACAGGAUUAGAUACCCCGGUAGUCC